This is a non-coding RNA of Hemicordylus capensis (graceful crag lizard), 414 nucleotides long. The record is from the annotation of a RefSeq genome assembly. Lineage: Eukaryota; Metazoa; Chordata; Lepidosauria; Squamata; Cordylidae.
AUGCCUGACCUUCGCCUGCUUAAGCCCAAAUGCAUCCUGCACCACCAGGUUCAAGGUGUCCAGUCAGAAGUCCAGGUGACGGAAUAUAGAGGUGUAAAAAGGCCUGGGGAGUCCCUCCACCUGACCUGCCAAGGCUCUGGGUUCACCUUCAGCAGCUAUGUAAUGAACUGGGUGAGACAAGCUCCUGGAAAAGGCUUGGAAUGGGUUGCAUUAGUUAGUGAAACUGCAGUUACCAUUUGGUACACAGAGGCAGUGAGAGGGCGCUUCACCAUCUCCAGGGAUAAUGCAAACAGCCAGCUUUAUUUGCAAAUGAACAGCCUGAAAGCCGAGGACACUGCUGUGUCUUACUGUGCAAGACACACAGUGAGAGGAAGUGAUUCUGAAGCCCUGCAAAAAAACUCUUUCCAGUCUUGA